This 68-nucleotide transfer RNA is filed under the name Homalodisca vitripennis (glassy-winged sharpshooter). Its description in RNAcentral is "tRNA-Met". It matches the Rfam family "tRNA". Rfam says of the family: Transfer RNA (tRNA) molecules are approximately 80 nucleotides in length. Their secondary structure includes four short double-helical elements and three loops (D, anti-codon, and T loops). Lineage: Eukaryota; Metazoa; Arthropoda; Insecta; Hemiptera; Cicadellidae. The record is from RNAcentral.
AGAAAGAUAAGCUAAUAAAGCUAUUAGGUUCAUACCCUAAAUAUAGAGAUAAAAUUCUCUUCUUUUUA